RNAcentral lists this ribosomal RNA (252 nucleotides) under uncultured bacterium. Its description in RNAcentral is "partial 16S ribosomal RNA". It matches the Rfam family "Bacterial small subunit ribosomal RNA", at positions 525 to 776 of the family's 1533-position model. The record is from RNAcentral.
ACGAACCGGACGAACGUUAUUCGGAAUUACUGGGCUUAAAGAGUGCGUAGGCGGCUUUGUAGGUUGGGUGUGAAAUCCCACGGCUCAACCGUGGAACUGCGCUCAAAACCACAAGGCUUGAGGGAGGCAGAGGUAAGCGGAACUGAUGGUGGAGCGGUGAAAUGCGUUGAUAUCAUCAGGAACACCAGUGGCGAAGGCGGCUUACUGGGCCUCUUCUGACGCUGAGGCACGAAAGCUAGGGUAGCGAACAGG